Molecule: ribosomal RNA, 575 nt
Filed under: Acanthagrion quadratum
Lineage: Eukaryota; Metazoa; Arthropoda; Insecta; Odonata; Coenagrionidae
Description: SSU rRNA
Rfam family: Eukaryotic small subunit ribosomal RNA
Source: RNAcentral
UAAAGUUGUUGCGGUUAAAAAGCUCGUAGUCGGAGGUGUGUCUCGGACGGUCGGUUCGCCGCUUGUCGGUGCUCAACUGGCCGGUCCGGACGUCCUGCCGGUGGGGCCUCACGGCCCCGUCAUCCUUCUUUGGUCCUCUUCACCGAGUGCCUUGGUGGGCCGGCACGUUUACUUUGAACAAAUUAGAGUGCUCAAAGCAGGCCGUUGGUCGCCUGAAUACUGUGUGCAUGGAAUAAUGGAAUAGGACCUCGGUUCCAUUUUGUUGGUUUUCGGGACUCGAGGUAAUGAUUAAUAGGGACGGACGGGGGCAUUCGUAUUGCGACGUUAGAGGUGAAAUUCUUGGAUCGUCGCAAGACGAACCGAUGCGAAAGCAUUUGCCAAGAACGUUUUCGUUGAUCAAGAACGAAAGUUAGAGGUUCGAAGGCGAUCAGAUACCGCCCUAGUUCUAACCAUAAACGAUGCCAGCUAGCCAUCCGCCGAAGUUCCUUCUAUGACUCGGCGGGCAGCUUCCGGGAAACCAAAGCUCUUGGGUUCCGGGGGAAGUAUGGUUGCAAAGCUCAAACUUAAAGGAAUUG